CAGGCAGCAUUUGGUCGUGGAAACGAAAUUUCCUGUUGAAUCCGUUCAAUUAGGGACAACGAAAUUGUUAAUCCGUGAUGUGGUGACUCCAAGGGUAGCAUCAAGCAUAGGACGAGGUCACUAAAUCAAGAAAUUCAAGGAAAGAAAGGAAUAAAGGGAAACUUCCAAAAACAUUGACGGGUGAAUAUCACCGAUGCUUCAAGCACGAAUCAAGGAGAAAGACAAGAUUUAUUCUGAGUUACAAAACAGAUGAAGCGCACUUCUCUCGAGACUAGGACGAGUCAGAGCCAACACUUAUUUUACUAAAAUCGUAAAGCAAAUGUUGUGUCGCGAAUUUAUUGGCUUAAAUUUUUAUUUCUCAGUUUGAUAGUCAACCUCAGCGGGUUUAAAAGUUUCAAAUUUUCCCGCCAAAAAUCUUAGAAAAAUACGGUCACGUUUAGUACGCAUGCCUCUUUAUUUAUUCUGUUGAAAUAUGGCGAAUUUUCCCGCCAAAAGACUUAGAAAAAUACGGAGCUCAAAAAUACGCAUGCGCCGUUUUUUUUUAAAUUUAAUAUGCUAGUGGUAUGAACAGUAAAGUGAUCAGUCUCGUCUAUUA
Molecule: long non-coding RNA, 595 nt
Organism: Stylophora pistillata
Lineage: Eukaryota; Metazoa; Cnidaria; Anthozoa; Scleractinia; Pocilloporidae
Source: RefSeq, a predicted model, not a curated record